ACUUUGGCCAUGACCGGGAGUAGUAAGCGGGGCAACUGUCCAGAGAGCUGUUGGCCGGUGCGAAACAGCACGGUAAGCCGCCCAACUCGCCCGGGAGCCGUACGGCUGACGUCUUGACCAGGCCGUACCGGGUAGCUCCGUUACAGGCUUUCAAGGGGAUAGGACCGUAAGGCCUGUCAAUUUGGGUGGUAACGCGGGAGCAUGCCUCUCGUCCCAUGA
RNAcentral lists this non-coding RNA (219 nucleotides) under Clostridiales bacterium. RNAcentral's name for it is "T-box sequence". It matches the Rfam family "T-box leader". Rfam says of the family: Uncharged tRNA acts as the effector for transcription antitermination of genes in the T-box leader family. The record is from RNAcentral. Lineage: Bacteria; Bacillati; Bacillota; Clostridia; Eubacteriales.